CACAUGAACACGAAAGAGGUUAUCUUGAACAUGAUGUUAUCUAUUAAAGGAGCUUAUAUGAUGACAUAGAAUUGGCUACGUGUCAAUCUCUCAGGUAUGCUAUCUAUGACAAGGUUUAAAGCUAUUGAAUGGCUUGAAAGUAUUUUUGAAUAAUGGAUGUGUUUUUUCACUUUACAAGCACACAUUUACCAUAGACUUAGUUUGGUCAGAUAAUUUGGAAUGGGUCCAACUGGUAAUCAAUUAUGGAUUUGAAGCAACAUAUCAAAGGGAAGUUGUUGAAGUUGGAGGUUGAUCAUCGAAAUACAUCAAGUUAUCAAGAUAUGAUUGUACAGGUUUCAAACCAUAUUGUCAAUUAGAGUAUUUGAUUCAUUUAAGAUUGAUGUGAAACAAUUAUAUAAAGUUUAGUUGUUUUUAU
RNAcentral lists this long non-coding RNA (415 nucleotides) under Helianthus annuus (common sunflower). RNAcentral describes it as "hypothetical non coding rna". The record is from RNAcentral. Lineage: Eukaryota; Viridiplantae; Streptophyta; Magnoliopsida; Asterales; Asteraceae.